RNAcentral lists this ribosomal RNA (497 nucleotides) under uncultured bacterium. RNAcentral's name for it is "partial 16S ribosomal RNA". It matches the Rfam family "Bacterial small subunit ribosomal RNA", at positions 28 to 507 of the family's 1533-position model. The record is from RNAcentral.
GAUGAACGCUGGCGGCGUGCCUAAUACAUGCAAGUCGAGCGAACAGACGAGGAGCUUGCUCCUCUGACGUUAGCGGCGGACGGGUGAGUAACACGUGGAUAACCUACCUAUAAGACUGGGAUAACUUCGGGAAACCGGAGCUAAUACCGGAUAAUAUAUUGAACCGCAUGGUUCAAUAGUGAAAGACGGUUUUGCUGUCACUUAUAGAUGGAUCCGCGCCGCAUUAGCUAGUUGGUAAGGUAACGGCUUACCAAGGCAACGAUGCGUAGCCGACCUGAGAGGGUGAUCGGCCACACUGGAACUGAGACACGGUCCAGACUCCUACGGGAGGCAGCAGUAGGGAAUCUUCCGCAAUGGGCGAAAGCUUGACGGAGCAACGCCGCGUGAGUGAUGAAGGUCUUCGGAUCGUAAAACUCUGUUAUUAGGGAAGAACAACUGUGUAAGUAACUAUGCACGUCUUGACGGUACCUAAUCAGAAAGCAACGGCUAACUACGUG